GACAGAGGUGCCAAGCGUUAGGCGGAAUCACUGGGCUUAAAGCGUGUGUAGGCGGAUCGUUAAGUACCUUGUGAAAUCCCACGGCUCAACCGUGGAACUGCUGGGUAUACUGGCGAUCUUGAGCCACCUAGGGGCGAGCGGAACAAGCGGUGGAGCGGUGAAAUGCGUAGAUAUUGGGAAGAACACCGGUGGCGAAGGCGGCGACCUGGUCCUUGACUGACGCUGAGGCGCGAAAGCGUGGGGAGCAAACAGG
RNAcentral lists this ribosomal RNA (253 nucleotides) under uncultured bacterium. RNAcentral describes it as "partial 16S ribosomal RNA". It matches the Rfam family "Bacterial small subunit ribosomal RNA", at positions 524 to 776 of the family's 1533-position model. The record is from RNAcentral.